AAUAAAUAUUGACGACAACUGAGUUUAUUUGAAAGAAAACGGAGUAAGGGAAGCAAGUCACCCGCGAUGAAGUCCGGACACCUUAUGGUUAUGUUUUACGUCGUAUUUGCUUUGAAAGUUUGCUGCCAUCCCAAUGAGAUCGUUAUGGUUACAGACGCAAUGAGAGCUGCAUGUUUCAACGAUAGGUGCACGCGUUGGUUCACUCGUUCGUCUCGCUAUUACAGCAGGUGCAUGGAGGAGUGGUGUCCACAGCUUUUCUUCCGAUGCCAAAAUGGUAAUUACUGGACAUGUCGGUACCUAAGGAAACUAGCUGGCAUACGCCCUUCGUGAGUUCCAAUAGCCAGACGAGAUCUGUGUAUGUCGUUUGUAGAGAUUUCGGACAACCCUCUUACUGCACGUGGGCAAUAAAUUAUGACCGAAUAGUUCAUAAUGAACUGGACAUAGUAUACCGCUUGUAUAGACAACAAUCAACACUUUAUAUAUUGACGUUCUUUAUCAUCUGAUUUACAAAAUACGCUAAAGUGUAUUCUGCCGUCUAUGGGAACUCGGUGAAGCUGCCAAGCCCGAUUCGGCCUGGUUGUGUCAGUCCAAUCGUUCUCGUCGUUCCUGCUAGCUAUGAAGCCGAAUUCUAGUACUUUUUGGAAUUCAGCAACGUUUACGGAGAGGAAUUCGGCUACAUCUGGGUAUCUGUGAAAUAUAAUUGUAAA
Molecule: long non-coding RNA, 707 nt
Organism: Lineus longissimus
Lineage: Eukaryota; Metazoa; Nemertea; Pilidiophora; Heteronemertea; Lineidae
Exons: 3
Source: RefSeq, a predicted model, not a curated record